This 253-nucleotide ribosomal RNA is filed under the name uncultured bacterium. RNAcentral describes it as "partial 16S ribosomal RNA". It matches the Rfam family "Bacterial small subunit ribosomal RNA", at positions 524 to 776 of the family's 1533-position model. The record is from RNAcentral.
UACAGAGGGUGCAAGCGUUAAUCGGAAUUACUGGGCGUAAAGCGUGCGUAGACGGUUACAUAAGUCAGAUGUGAAAGCCCCGGGCUCAACCUGGGAAUUGCAUUUGAGACUGUGUAGCUAGGGUGCGGAAGAGGGAAGCGGAAUUUCCGGUGUAGCGGUGAAAUGCGUAGAUAUCGGAAGGAACACCAGUGGCGAAGGCGGCUCUCUGGGGCGGUACUGACGCUGAGACGCGAAAGCGUGGGGAGCGAACAGG